Neopelma chrysocephalum (saffron-crested tyrant-manakin) is the source of this 886-nucleotide long non-coding RNA. RefSeq lists it as uncharacterized. The record is from RefSeq and is a predicted model, not a curated record. The transcript has 3 exons. NCBI's taxonomy places the organism in Eukaryota, Metazoa, Chordata, Aves, Passeriformes, Pipridae.
AACGUGGAGCUUUGCUUUUUUGUGCCCUUUUUUUCCCCCCUCAGCAUGCAGGAGCCUGAUCUGUGACUUUAUUUGCUUCUUUUUCAGUGGUUAGCCACAGUUCAAUAUGCAGUCACAAACCCCUAAUAGCAACAGGACUGCAUGUGCUGAGUCCAUCUGUAAAUGCUGGCACAUGUAUCAAUACAGGUUGCCAGAUAACACAUGAGAUGACUUCCACAGGAGCUUUGAGCCUUAAAGUCUACUUAAUUAUGAAUGAUCCCAUAUUAUGUCUUUGUGCAAUGGGAGGAAAAGCUGUUCAGACAGGCGAUUUGCCACAGGAUUUCCAGGCCCCUAAGACCCAUCAGAAAAUGAAGAGCAGCAAAGACUUACCCUCAGUAAAGCAGGAUCAAGUUGGGAGAGGGGAAGUUCCUGAGAACUCGGAAAAGCAAUUACCAGUCCUGUCUUUGAGAAGAGCAAGAAGGAGGGAGGAUCUGGGCCUGUCAGUUUCACUUCAAUGCCUGGGAAGGUCAUGGAGCAAAUAAUCCUGUAAACCAUUUCCAAAUGGAUGAAGGACAAGAAGGUGACUGACAGUAGUUGUCAUGAGUUUAUGAAGAUAAAAUCAGCUCACCUGAUUACCUUCUAAGAUGAAAUAACUAAGAUGAGGAGAGAGUAAUGCAUGUUGUUUAUUUUGACUUUGGCAAGGCUUUUGACAGACUCUGAAUGACAUUUUUGUAGGCAAACCCAUGAAGUUUUGUGGACUAGCUAAAAGGACAAUGGAAUGGACUGAAAACUGACUGAACUUCUGGGCUCAAAGGAUUGUGAUCAGUGACACAAAGUCCAGCUGGAGGCCAGCUAUUUGUGGUGUACCAGGUUAAUUGUAUAUGGCAUUAAAAAUACCUCUUAUCAA